This 482-nucleotide ribosomal RNA is filed under the name uncultured bacterium. Its description in RNAcentral is "bacterial SSU rRNA". It matches the Rfam family "Bacterial small subunit ribosomal RNA", at positions 35 to 507 of the family's 1533-position model. The record is from RNAcentral.
GCUGGCGGCAAGCCUUACACAUGCAAGUCGAGCGGUAGCAUUUCUAGCUUGCUAGAAGAUGACGAGCGGCGGACGGGUGAGUAAAGCAUAGGAAUCUGGCCAAUAGAGGGGGAUAGCCCGGAGAAAUCCGGAUUAAUACCGCAUACACUCUAUGGAGAAAAAGCAGGGGAUCUUCGGACCUCGCACUAUUGGAUGAGCCUAUGUCGGAUUAGUUAGUUGGUGGGGUAAAGGCCUACCAAGGCAGCGAUCCGUAGCUGGUCUUAGAGGAUGAUCAGCCACAUCGGGACUGAGACACGGCCCGAACUCCUACGGGAGGCAGCAGUGGGGAAUAUUGCACAAUGGGCGCAAGCCUGAUGCAGCUAUGCCGCGUGUGUGAAGAAGGCCUUAGGGUUGUAAAGCACUUUCAGUAGUGAGGAAAAGUGUUGUGUUAAUAGCGCAAUGCUGGGACGUUAGCUACAGAAGAAGGACCGGCAAACUCCGUG